UACGGAGGGUGCAAGCGUUAUCCGGAUUCACUGGGUUUAAAGGGUGCGUAGGUGGGUUGGUAAGUCAGUGGUGAAAUCUCCGGGCUUAACCUGGAAACUGCCAUUGAUACUAUCAAUCUUGAAUACCUUGGAGGUGAGCGGAAUAUGUCAUGUAGCGGUGAAAUGCUUAGAUAUGACAUAGAACACCAAUUGCGAAGGCGGCUCACUGGCCCGAUACUGACGCUGAGGUGCGAAAGCGUGGGGAGCGAACAGG
This 253-nucleotide ribosomal RNA is filed under the name uncultured bacterium. RNAcentral's name for it is "partial 16S ribosomal RNA". It matches the Rfam family "Bacterial small subunit ribosomal RNA", at positions 524 to 776 of the family's 1533-position model. The record is from RNAcentral.